RNAcentral lists this ribosomal RNA (564 nucleotides) under uncultured bacterium. RNAcentral's name for it is "bacterial SSU rRNA". It matches the Rfam family "Bacterial small subunit ribosomal RNA", at positions 338 to 916 of the family's 1533-position model. The record is from RNAcentral.
CCUACGGGAGGCAGCAGUGGGGAAUAUUGGACAAUGGGCGCAAGCCUGAUCCAGCCAUGCCGCGUGAGUGAUGAAGGCCCUAGGGUUGUAAAGCUCUUUUGUGCGGGAAGAUAAUGACGGUACCGCAAGAAUAAGCCCCGGCUAACUUCGUGCCAGCAGCCGCGGUAAUACGAAGGGGGCUAGCGUUGCUCGGAAUCACUGGGCGUAAAGGGUGCGUAGGCGGGUUUUUAAGUCAGAGGUGAAAUCCUGGAGCUCAACUCCAGAACUGCCUUUGAUACUGAAGAUCUUGAGUUCGGGAGAGGUGAGUGGAACUGCGAGUGUAGAGGUGAAAUUCGUAGAUAUUCGCAAGAACACCAGUGGCGAAGGCGGCUCACUGGCCCGAUACUGACGCUGAGGCACGAAAGCGUGGGGAGCAAACAGGAUUAGAUACCCUGGUAGUCCACGCCGUAAACGAUGAAAUGCCAGCCGUUAGUGGGUUUACUCACUAGUGGCGCAGCUAACGCUUUAAAGCAUUCCGCCUGGGGAGUACGGUCGCAAGAUUAAAACUUAAAAGGAAAUUGACGG